CCCACCUGACCCCAUGCCGAACUCAGAAGUGAAACGCCGUAGCGCCGAUGGUAGUGUGGGGUCUCCCCAUGCGAGAGUAGGACACUGCCAGGCA
Molecule: ribosomal RNA, 94 nt
Filed under: Serratia fonticola
Lineage: Bacteria; Pseudomonadati; Pseudomonadota; Gammaproteobacteria; Enterobacterales; Yersiniaceae
Also listed under: 1 other name
Source: RNAcentral